GAUGAACGCUGGCGGCGUGCCUAAUACAUGCAAGUCGAGCGAACAGACGAGGAGCUUGCCCCUCUGACGUUAGCGGCGGACGGGUGAGUAACACGUGGAUAACCUACCUAUAAGACUGGGAUAACUUCGGGAAACCGGAGCUAAUACCGGAUCAUAUAUUGAACCGCAUGGUUCAAUAGUGAAAGACGGUUUUGCUGUCACUUAUAGAUGGAUCCGCGUCGCAUUAGCUAGUUGGUAAGGUAACGGCUUACCAAGGCAACGAUGCGUAGCCGACCUGAGAGGGUGAUCGGCCACACUGGAACUGAGACACGGUCCAGACUCCUACGGGAGGCAGCAGUAGGGAAUCUUCCGCAAUGGGCGAAAGCCUGACGGAGCAACGCCGCGUGAGUGAUGAAGGUCUUCGGAUCGUAAAACUCUGUUAUUAGGGAAGAACAACUGUGUAAGUAACUAUGCACGUCUUGACGGUACCUAAUCAGAAAGCCACGGCUAACUACGUG
RNAcentral lists this ribosomal RNA (497 nucleotides) under uncultured bacterium. RNAcentral's name for it is "partial 16S ribosomal RNA". It matches the Rfam family "Bacterial small subunit ribosomal RNA", at positions 28 to 507 of the family's 1533-position model. The record is from RNAcentral.